Molecule: long non-coding RNA, 514 nt
Organism: Cucumis sativus (cucumber)
Lineage: Eukaryota; Viridiplantae; Streptophyta; Magnoliopsida; Cucurbitales; Cucurbitaceae
Exons: 2
Source: RefSeq, a predicted model, not a curated record
CAGCUUUGAUUUACAAUUUAGUUUUAACUUUUAAGUGUCUUUGUGAAAUUAAAUUUUUUUAGAUUUCUUUGUUACAAACUGAACCGGAUUUAAUAUUUUCCCUCAAUUUAUUUCUGCCCAAGUCUUCCUACAUUUUGCAUUUAAGGAAAUUAUGAGAAUGGCUUGAAGUAGAACCCAUGUCUUGAAAGCAUCUUGAUUAAAUCGUAACUGGAUAUGCUCGACUUCAGUCUAAGAUUUUUUGUUUGUUACGGCUUGUGAGCUCUAUUCUGACAACCCUGGACGCAUUCCUAUGGUGCUGUAUUGCAUUCUUCAGCUUUCUAUAGAUUCAAAAUUGCACAAUGUAAAUAAUCAUAGACGAGAGACUUGUGUAUAAAAUUUUAUCACGUGGUUACCAUGUAUCUUAGCCUUAGUGCGUGGCAGCCACAUUUUCGUCUGCUGUCAAAUUUUCAUCAUGCUUGCCGAUUGCAAUGAUGAUUUUGUUUUUGUUUCUUAUAAAUGAAAAUGUGUUGUGAUA